Molecule: ribosomal RNA, 406 nt
Filed under: uncultured bacterium
Lineage: Bacteria
Description: partial 16S ribosomal RNA
Rfam family: Bacterial small subunit ribosomal RNA
Source: RNAcentral
AUUGAACGCUGGCGGCAGGCCUAACACAUGCAAGUCGAACGAGUGGCGGACGGGUGAGUAAUGUCUGGGAAACUGCCUGAUGGAGGGGGAUAACUACUGGAAACGGUAGCUAAUACCGCAUACCAUCGGAUGUGCCCAGAUGGGAUUAGCUAGUCGGUGGGGUAAAGGCUCACCUAGGCGACGAUCCCUAGCUGGUCUGAGAGGAUGACCAGCAACACUGGGACGGAGAAACGGCCGAGACGCCUACGGGAGGCAGCAGUGGGGAAUAUUGCACAAUGGGCGCAAGCCUGAUGCAGCCAUGCCGCGUGUAUGAAGAAGGCCUUCGGGUUGUAAAGUACUUUCAGCGGGGAGGCGUUACCCGCAGAAGAAGCACCGGCUAACUCCGUGCCAGCAGCCGCGGUAAUAC